CUCAAUCCACUUUAAUCACAAGAUCACCAAGACAAAACAUUUCAAAUCUUCACGAGUAAAUGUCAUCAUUCAAUCCCAAUAUAGUCGCAACUAAAACAAUCUUAUAAUAACGUCCAAGGCAAUCAACAAGAUAAUUCCACAAGUCAUUCCACAUCAAUCACAAUAACGCAGUCAUAGUUUAGGCAAUGAUAUGUGUAACACCCUGUUUUUCCCAACUUAAAAAUUUCAUAACAAAUAAUCAGAGUUUUUCACAUAAACGGAAUGCUACACUUCUUAAAAAUCAUAAAUGGAAUAAUUAACUAAUUAUCCUUCAAAAUAUAAUCAACAUAAUAAUCAAUAUUUCGCAGCGGAUUAAAUUCAACAACUAAAAUAGUCUUUGGUACGAAGGCCUCAUCAUAACAUCUCAUAAAAUCCAAACUAAAUUAUAGUCAUGUAAAAUCAUAAGCAAUACGUAAGGAAUAGAAAAUAGCCACAAAAGUUCACAUCCCGUUACGUAUCAGAGCACCUAAAGACACAGUGAGAGGUAGCCACUCACGACAGCAAUCAACAGCUACUUAUUCUCGAUCACCUGCAAGUUACUCAUAUGAAGAGCAACAUUUCCAAACAGAAGGGGUGAGAUUCACAGUCAUUAAAUAAUAGACAUAUAAAUCAGUGACGACAUUUAACAAUAUAAGCAAUAACAAAUUGUUCAACAUUAAUAUUUCAUGUCUCUUCAACCACAAUAAACAUUGACCACUCAGUCAACAACGACACCUACUACGACAAUGCACGACACAACGACAAAUGCCACAAUGUAACAACCCAACAUUAAUAUUUCAUGGUUUGGCAUCAACAACAACUUCAACGAUUCGAUGACAACAACGUCAACCUGACAAUACACUACAUGAGAGUUCACCACCUCCUAUAAAUACAACAACGUAAGAGUACACCACCUUUCGCAAAACAACAACGUAAGAGUACACCACCUCUUAUAAAACGACAACAUAAGAGUACACCAUCUUUCGCAAAACAACAACAUAAGAGUAUACCACCUCUUAUAAAACGACAACAUAAGAGUACACCACCUCUUAUAAAACAACAACAUAACAGUACACCACCUCUUAUAAAACGACAACAUAAGAGUACACCACCUCUUAUAAAACAACAACAUACAACUCAACAACACUUACAUCAACUUAUAACUCAACGGCAUCAACAACAAGGAUGAUUUUCAACAACAACGACAGCAUUGCAUAAUUUACUUAUGACUUACUUCGCAACUUGGUCAACUGUGACACGACAACCUUUAACAAUGAAAUCCAUCAACAUAGUAUGUAUUCACAUGGUCAUAUACACAUAAUUCAUUAAUCAACAAUCAAUCAUGUUCUUGGUAAACAAUGCAAUCACAUAUAAUCAUCAUCAUAACCAAAAGAAUCCACCAAAUAGUACGCACGACAAGGUACACAAACAUAGAUGCGGCUUCAGCCACUGUGCAACUCGCCUCGCGAGUGCACUGCUCGCUAUGGCGAACUCAAGAAAAGGGGUAACUCGCUAUGGCGAGUAAGUUGUUCGCCGUGGCGAGUAGAAAAUAGCUGCUCUCGAGAGUUUUGACAUUUUUCUCACUAAAUCCUCUCAUUUACACAGCAUCUAAUCUUUCAUCAAUCCAAUUCAUUAUCUAAAAUUAUUAUUUCAGACACGUUUAAAUAAUAGUACAAAUAAAUUCAAUAUAACUAUCAUACCUAUAAAAAUCACCAUAAAAUUGUAGUAUAUUAUUUUAAUUAUUAUAGUUGCAAUUCUUCAGAUGAAAACAUGUAUGUAUAAAUCGCCAAUUAGUUAGUAUAUGUGCACUUGGAAUAUGAAGUAGCAACAAGUCACAAUCAUUGAUAUUCAAUGUCAACUAGUCAUAGAUAAAAGUGUUAACUAAUUAGUUGUAUGUAUAUAUAUUCACCGUAUGUAACCUCUAAUCGUAUGUAACCUCUAAUCCUGAAACCGUGAAUCACAAUUGAUAAUCAUAAGAGCAGAAAUUCACAUAACUGUAAAUCGAAGGACAUAUAUAAAGAAUGGUAAUUCAAAGGACACAUAUCAUCAAUUCAUAACUCAUAGUAAAUCGACGUCUUAAAACAGAGCUGAAUUUGAGAAAAUAUUCAAUUCAAUAGAGUUAGGUUUUUAUCCAAGUAAAUUAUAUCACAAAAAUUAUUAUCCAAAAAUCCAAAAUUAAUAUACCGUGAAAGAACAUGAAAAUAACAAAGAAUCAUCGAAGGAAUCAGAAAACAAUGAAAAUUAACAACCCUUCACUACCCACAUGAGUAAACAACCCUUAUGAUGAAUAAAACUCCCCCUUACUUAAUUCAGACGAACAAAGCUCUACGAUCUCCACUUGGCUCUCCUUGGCUUCACUCCAUUUUUCUCCCCAAGUGCUUGUUUUUCCGUGAAACUGAUUUCUGACUUCUCAAUUUCUAACUCCUUAAUUUAACUCCCAUUUAUUUCUAAUUAACUCCAC
Molecule: long non-coding RNA, 2479 nt
Filed under: Medicago truncatula (barrel medic)
Lineage: Eukaryota; Viridiplantae; Streptophyta; Magnoliopsida; Fabales; Fabaceae
Description: long non-coding RNA (MTRU_LNC007603)
Source: RNAcentral